UUGGCCAAAAAGUUCAUUCGGAUUUUUUCCAUACCAUCUUAUGGAAAAGCCCGGAUGGACUUUUUGGCCAA
This is a microRNA precursor of Tursiops truncatus (common bottlenose dolphin), 71 nucleotides long. The record is from Ensembl. Lineage: Eukaryota; Metazoa; Chordata; Mammalia; Artiodactyla; Delphinidae.